Ictidomys tridecemlineatus (thirteen-lined ground squirrel) is the source of this 751-nucleotide non-coding RNA. NCBI's taxonomy places the organism in Eukaryota, Metazoa, Chordata, Mammalia, Rodentia, Sciuridae. The record is from RefSeq and is a predicted model, not a curated record.
UCCCCCACCACAGAAGUGUUGAAGUCUUAAUCCCCAGGACCUCAGAAAAAAAUAUGACCUUAUUUGGAAGUGUUCAUUGUGAAUGUAAUUAGUUAAGAUGAGGUCGUACCGAUGUAGGAUGUGCCCCCCUAUUCCAGUGUGACUGGUGGCCACAUGAAGAUGGAGCAGAGAUUGAGUGAUGAGGUCACAAGCCAAGGAAUGCCUGAGGUCAUCAAGAUGUGAGAGGCAAGAAAGGAUCCUUCUACAGAGACUCCAAGGAGAUCAUGCCUCUGCUGACCUUGAUUCCAGACCCCUUGCUUCCAGAGCUCUACGGGAUCCUGAGGACAAGUCUACCUCGCGGUGCAUCCAGCAAACACCUCCCAGGAGGAAGGGAUGGUUGUUCAGCCAGAGAAAACCGAUUCCAGCUUUGGGGACUGGAAGGUUCAAGCUGAUUGGUGAUGAUGCUUUCCAAAGGGCUGUUACCACUGCUUCCUGCCACCCUCAGUGUUUUGGAAUCAUUUGGUGCUCCCAGUUGGAAUAAAUGGAAAACGUGUUUAACUUAAAAAGCCAAGCAUACAAUGCUAUCGUAUUGCACAAGCAAACUUGCAGCAGAGCGGGGGGCAACUACUGUUUCAAGAUGAUUUAAGAAUCCGAUCCAGUGUCUGGCUGCACAACUGCAUGCUUUGAAAGGCACCUCACAGAUGGGUUUCAUAAUUGAGAAAUGCAUUUGUUCUUUGUUGGCAUAUAAAAAUAAUGUGAUUCAAAGCUUGGA